GAAAUCCCACCUGUCCUUCUGGCUACAGAGCACUUACUUACCAAGCCCAUGAAAUCGAAUGCAGAUCUUCCUGAUGUGAGAUUUACAUAAAUAUGUCAAAGUCUCAACCUCAUGCUGC
Molecule: long non-coding RNA, 118 nt
Organism: Oreochromis aureus
Lineage: Eukaryota; Metazoa; Chordata; Actinopteri; Cichliformes; Cichlidae
Exons: 3
Source: RefSeq, a predicted model, not a curated record